UGACCACUCAAGCCUAGCUUGGUAUUGGGGUUCGCGGUCCCGCGGCUCUUAAAAUCAGUGGCGGUGCCGUCUGGCUCUAAGCGUAGUAAUUUUCUCGCUAUGGAGUCCGGGUGGUUACUUGCCAAAACCCCAACUUCUCAC
Molecule: unclassified non-coding RNA, 141 nt
Filed under: uncultured Hyaloscyphaceae
Lineage: Eukaryota; Fungi; Ascomycota; Leotiomycetes; Helotiales
Also listed under: 1 other name
Description: sequence contains ITS2
Source: RNAcentral